RNAcentral lists this ribosomal RNA (393 nucleotides) under uncultured bacterium. RNAcentral describes it as "partial 16S ribosomal RNA". It matches the Rfam family "Bacterial small subunit ribosomal RNA", at positions 523 to 918 of the family's 1533-position model. The record is from RNAcentral.
AUACGGAGGAUCCGAGCGUUAUCCGGAUUUAUUGGGUUUAAAGGGAGCGCAGGCGGAGAUACAAGCGUGACGUCAAAUUUCGGGGCUCAACCCCGUCUCGCGUCGCGAACUGCGUCCCUUGGUUGCGGGAAGGGGAGGCGGAACUCGUGGGGGAGCGGUGAAAUGCAUAGAUAUCACGAAGAACUCCGAUCGCGAAGGCAGCCUUCCGGCCCGUCAACGACGCUCAUGCUCGAAGGUGCGGGUAUCAAACAGGAUUAGAUACCCUGGUAGUCCGCACAGUAAACGAUGGACACCCGCGGUUUGGCCUAUAUGGCUGAGCCGCCAAGCGAAAGCGUUAAGUGUCCCACCUGGGGAGUACGCCGGCAACGGUGAAACUCAAAUGAAUUGGCGGGG